Long non-coding RNA from Cucumis sativus (cucumber), 590 nucleotides. RefSeq lists it as uncharacterized. The record is from RefSeq and is a predicted model, not a curated record. The transcript is spliced from 2 exons. Lineage: Eukaryota; Viridiplantae; Streptophyta; Magnoliopsida; Cucurbitales; Cucurbitaceae.
UUUGACCCUUUCUCUUUUAUUGAGUCGUCUUUCCUCUUUUGAGCUUGGGAAACUCGUAGAUUUCCCGCUGGCGCCUAUGGCACAGUGAAAUGAGACGAUCCAUGUCCCCAUCUGCUUCCUAAGGCGAAUCUUCCCAACAACAACAAUGGCGGAAGUCCAAGCUCUCCUUUGAAUCUCUCCAUUCCUGAUAUUUUGAAUGUUCCUCAGCAUCACCGAGUACCAUCGUCCUCAUCGCACACAGCCAAAAGCGAAGGAAGAAAAGGAUGGGUAUUUAUGGAGAGUUUGAAGAUGAAGAAAAACUAAGAUCAUUAGUGAAAGAAAAGGGGUGGUUGGAUGCUGAAAAGACGGGGCAGCAGCGUGAAAAUGCCCAUUCACUUGCCCUAUUCUUCCACAAUGCCUUGUAGAAAUUGAAGGAGACUACAUAACAAUAGGAAAAAGAAAAAAGCACUUAUUUUAAAUCUCAAAUGUUGGAACUUGUUUUACAAAUAUAGAAAAAUAUUACGAUCUAUAUAACCGAUAAAUAUAGAUUAUAGUCUACUUUGAUCUAUGAUACAUAAACAGUGACAUUUUACUAUAUUUUUUUCAUUUUA